GGUUAAAACGCUCGUAGUUGGAUAUUUGUUGAGAACUGCCGGUCUACCCUAGUGGUGAGCACUCGGUUUGUCCUCGGCACUUUCCUGGGGAGAGUGUUUGCACUUCAUUGUGUGGCACAUGAUCCAGAACUUUUACUUUGAGGAAAUGAGAGUGUUUCAAGCAGGCGUCUGUCGUGAAUACGUUAGCAUGGAAUAAUAGCAUAGGACCGCGGUCUGACGCUGUUGGUUGUUGGACCGGGGUAAUGAAAAUAGGGAUAGUUGGGGGUAUUCGUAUUUAACUGUCAGAGGUGAAAUUCUUGGAUUUUUUAAAGACGGACUACUGCGAAAGCAUCUGCCCAGGAUGUUUUUAUUGAUCAAGAACGAAAGUUAGGGGAUCGAAGACGAUCAGAUACCGUCCUAGUCUUAACCUUAAACCAUGCCGACUAGAGAUUGGGGUCGUCAGAAUCGUGACGCCUUCAGCACCUUGUGAGAAAUCAAAGUCUUUGGGUUCCGGGGGGAGUAUGGUCGCAAGGCUGAAACUUAAAGGAAUUGACGGAAGGGCACCACCAGGAGUGGAGCCUGCGGCUUAAUUUGACUCAACACGGGGAAACUUACCAGGCCCGGACAUAGAGAGGAUUGACAGACUGAUAGCUCUU
RNAcentral lists this ribosomal RNA (635 nucleotides) under uncultured marine eukaryote. RNAcentral's name for it is "SSU rRNA". It matches the Rfam family "Eukaryotic small subunit ribosomal RNA", at positions 617 to 1259 of the family's 1831-position model. The record is from RNAcentral.